CCGCGUGAGGGAUGGAGGCCUUCGGGUUGUAAACCUCUUUCGCCAGUGAAGCAGGCCUGUCCCUUUUGUGGGUGGGUUGACGGUAGCUGGAUAAGAAGCGCCGGCUAACUACGUGCCAGCAGCCGCGGUAAUACGUAGGGCGCGAGCGUUGUCCGGAAUUAUUGGGCGUAAAGAGCUCGUAGGCGGCUGGUCGCGUCUGUCGUGAAAUCCUCUGGCUUAACUGGGGGCUUGCGGUGGGUACGGGCCGGCUUGAGUGCGGUAGGGGAGACUGGAACUCCUGGUGUAGCGGUGGAAUGCGCAGAUAUCAGGAAGAACACCGGUGGCGAAGGCGGGUCUCUGGGCCGUUACUGACGCUGAGGAGCGAAAGCGUGGGGAGCGAACAGGAUUAGAUACCCUGGUAGUCCACGCCGUAAACGUUGGGCACUAGGUGUGGGGGGCCUUUUCCGGGUCUUCCGCGCCGUAGCUAACGCAUUAAGUGCCCCGCCUGGGGAGUACGGCCGCAAGGCUAAAACUCAAAGGAAUUGACGGGGGCCCGCACAAGCGGCGGAGCAUGCGGAUUAAUUCGAUGCAACGCGAAGAACCUUACCAAGGCUCGACAUGUGCCGGUCGGCUCCGGAGACGGGGUUUCCUCCUUGUGGGGCCGGUUCACAGGUGGUGCAUGGUUGUCGUCAGCUCGUGUCGUGAGAUGUGGGGUUAAGUCCGCAAGAGCGCA
This 712-nucleotide ribosomal RNA is filed under the name Actinomyces sp. oral taxon 175. Its description in RNAcentral is "bacterial SSU rRNA". It matches the Rfam family "Bacterial small subunit ribosomal RNA", at positions 397 to 1100 of the family's 1533-position model. Lineage: Bacteria; Bacillati; Actinomycetota; Actinomycetes; Actinomycetales; Actinomycetaceae. The record is from RNAcentral.